This 73-nucleotide transfer RNA is filed under the name Clostridiaceae bacterium. RNAcentral's name for it is "tRNA-Lys". It matches the Rfam family "tRNA". Rfam says of the family: Transfer RNA (tRNA) molecules are approximately 80 nucleotides in length. Their secondary structure includes four short double-helical elements and three loops (D, anti-codon, and T loops). RNAcentral also lists the same sequence under 1 other name. Lineage: Bacteria; Bacillati; Bacillota; Clostridia; Eubacteriales; Clostridiaceae. The record is from RNAcentral.
GAGACAUUGGUUUAAUUGGUAAAACAUGUGACUUUUAAUCGCUAUAAUAUGAGUUCAAGUCUCAUAUGUCUUA